CAGUCGAACGAGUUCUCGUUGAUGAUCGGUGCUUGCACUGAGAUUCAACAUGGCCCGUAAGGCGGACGGGUGAGUAACACGUGGGUAACCUGCCCUUCAUUGGGGGAUAAUAUUUGGAAACAGAUGCUAAUACCGCAUAGAUCCAAGAACCGCAUGGUUCUUGGCUGAAAGAUGGCGCAAGCUAUCGCUUUUGGAUGGACCCGCGGCGUAUUAGCUAGUUGGUGAGGUAAUGGCUCACCAAGGCGAUGAUACGUAGCCGAACUGAGAGGUUGAUCGGCCACAUUGGGACUGAGACACGGCCCAAACUCCUACGGGAGGCAGCAGUAGGGAAUCUUCCACAAUGGACGCAAGUCUGAUGGAGCAACGCCGCGUGAGUGAAGAAGGCUUUCGGGUCGUAAAACUCUGUUGUUGGAGAAGAAUGGUCGGCAGAGUAACUGUUGUCGGCGUGACGGUAUCCAACCAGAAAGCCACGGCUAACUACGUGCCAGCAGCCGCGGUAAUACGUAGGUGGCAAGCGUUAUCCGGAUUUAUUGGGCGUAAAGCGAGCGCAGGCGGUUUUUAAGUCUGAUGUGAAAGCCCUCGGCUUAACCGAGGAAGCGCAUCGGAAACUGGGAAACUUGAGUGCAGAAGAGGACAGUGGAACUCCAUGUGUAGCGGUGAAAUGCGUAGAUAUAUGGAAGAACACCAGUGGCGAAGGCGGCUGUCUGGUCUGUAACUGACGCUGAGGCUCGAAAGCAUGGGUAGCGAACAGGAUUAGAUACCCUGGUAGUCCAUGCCGUAAACGAUGAAUGCUAGGUGUUGGAGGGUUUCCGCCCUUCAGUGCCGCAGCUAACGCAUUAA
This 840-nucleotide ribosomal RNA is filed under the name uncultured bacterium. RNAcentral's name for it is "bacterial SSU rRNA". It matches the Rfam family "Bacterial small subunit ribosomal RNA", at positions 59 to 863 of the family's 1533-position model. The record is from RNAcentral.